UUAAGUUCAGCGGGUAUCCCUACCUGAUCCGAGGUCAAACGUUGAAAUAAGCUUUCUGGACGCCAACUACUAUGGCCCGGAACGCAAAAUGUGCUGCGCUCCAACACCUAAUGGUUGGCUGCCAAUUUAUUCAAGGCAAGUUCGCGGGGCGAACAGUGCCCAACACCAAGCAAAGCUUGAGGGGUUAAAUGACGCUCGAA
This 200-nucleotide unclassified non-coding RNA is filed under the name Pleosporales sp. Its description in RNAcentral is "partial internal transcribed spacer 2". The record is from RNAcentral. Lineage: Eukaryota; Fungi; Ascomycota; Dothideomycetes; Pleosporales.